RNAcentral lists this ribosomal RNA (430 nucleotides) under Nitrosomonas sp. Its description in RNAcentral is "bacterial SSU rRNA". It matches the Rfam family "Bacterial small subunit ribosomal RNA", at positions 355 to 777 of the family's 1533-position model. Lineage: Bacteria; Pseudomonadati; Pseudomonadota; Betaproteobacteria; Nitrosomonadales; Nitrosomonadaceae. The record is from RNAcentral.
UGGGGAAUUUUGGACAAUGGGGGCAACCCUGAUCCAGCCAUGCCGCGUGCGGGAAGAAGGCCUUCGGGUUGUAAACCGCUUUUAGCCGGGAAGAAAAGGCAGGGGCUAACACUCUCUGUUCUUGACGGUACCGGCGGAAUAAGCACCGGCUAACUACGUGCCAGCAGCCGCGGUAAUACGUAGGGUGCGAGCGUUAAUCGGAAUUACUGGGCGUAAAGCGUGCGCAGGCGGUUCGUUAAGUCUGAUGUGAAAGCCCCGGGCUCAACCUGGGAAUGGCAUUGGAUACUGGCGGGCUUGAGUGUGGCAGAGGGGGGUGGAAUUCCGCGUGUAGCAGUGAAAUGCGUAGAGAUGCGGAGGAACACCGAUGGCGAAGGCAGCCCCCUGGGCUGACACUGACGCUCAGGCACGAGAGCGUGGGGAGCAAACAGGA